GAUGAACGCUGGCGGCGUGCCUAAUACAUGCAAGUCGAGCGAACGGACGAGAAGCUUGCUUCUCUGAUGUUAGCGGCGGACGGGUGAGUAACACGUGGAUAACCUACCUAUAAGACUGGGAUAACUUCGGGAAACCGUAGCUAAUACCGGAUAAUAUUUUGAACCGCAUGGUUCAAAAGUGAAAGACGGUCUUGCUGUCACUUAUAGCUGGAUCCGCGCUGCAUUAGCUAGUUGGUAAGGUAACGGCUUACCAAGGCAACGAUGCAUAGCCGACCUGAGAGGGUGGUCGGCCACACGGGAACUGAGACACGGUCCAGACGCCUACGGGAGGCAGCAGUAGGGAAUCUUCCGCAAUGGGCGAAAGCCUGACAGAGCAACGCCGCGUGAGUGAUGAAGGUCUUCGGAUCGUAAAACUCUGUUAUUAGUGAAGAACAGAUGUGUAAGUAACUGUGCACAGCGUGACGGUACCGAAUCAGAAAGCCACGGCUAACUACGUG
This 497-nucleotide ribosomal RNA is filed under the name uncultured bacterium. Its description in RNAcentral is "partial 16S ribosomal RNA". It matches the Rfam family "Bacterial small subunit ribosomal RNA", at positions 28 to 507 of the family's 1533-position model. The record is from RNAcentral.